UAGAGAGUAGUGUACUGAAGCACAGGGGGUUUUGAUCCCCCAGGGGCAGGUUCGAGUCCUGUUUUUCUAA
RNAcentral lists this transfer RNA (70 nucleotides) under Typhlonectes natans (Rio Cauca caecilian). Its description in RNAcentral is "tRNA-Gln". It matches the Rfam family "tRNA". From Rfam's summary of the family: Transfer RNA (tRNA) molecules are approximately 80 nucleotides in length. Their secondary structure includes four short double-helical elements and three loops (D, anti-codon, and T loops). The record is from RNAcentral. Lineage: Eukaryota; Metazoa; Chordata; Amphibia; Gymnophiona; Typhlonectidae.